GAUGAACGCUAGCGGCGUGCUUAACACAUGCAAGUCGAGGGAACACACCAGCGACAUCCUGCUCUUGAUUUACGGCCGGACGGGUACGGAAGAGGAACGUAACCUCCCUCUAAGCAUGACUUAGCUACAACCUACCGAAGCUAAGACCGGAUCAUAAAUUGAUCCCCAGAAGACAACAGUAAAGGAUGAAAUUUCUAUCGCUGAUGGAUGGAGACGCGUCGCAUUAGCUAGUUGGUGAGGUAACGGCUUACCAAGGCAACGAUCCGUAGCCGACCUGAGAGGGUGAUCAGCCACCCUGGAACUGAGACACGGCCCAGACUCCUACGGGAGGCAGCAGUAGGGAAUCUUCCACAAGGGGCGAAAGCCUGACGGAGCAACGCCGCGUGAGUGAUAAAGGUCUUCGGAUCGUAAAACUCUGUUAUUAGGGAAGAACAAAUGUGUAAGUAACUAUGCACGUCUUGACGGUACCUAAUCAGAAAGCCACGGCUAACUACGUG
RNAcentral lists this ribosomal RNA (497 nucleotides) under uncultured bacterium. Its description in RNAcentral is "partial 16S ribosomal RNA". It matches the Rfam family "Bacterial small subunit ribosomal RNA", at positions 28 to 507 of the family's 1533-position model. The record is from RNAcentral.